Molecule: ribosomal RNA, 420 nt
Filed under: Austrocarausius sp. 2 BRJ-2022a
Lineage: Eukaryota; Metazoa; Arthropoda; Insecta; Phasmatodea; Lonchodidae
Description: partial large subunit ribosomal RNA
Source: RNAcentral
AAAAACAUCUUUUCUUGAUUUAAUAUGAGAUUUGACCUGCCCAAUGAUUUAUUUAAUGGCCGCGGUAUUUUGACUGUGCAAAGGUAGCAAAAUCAUUAGUUUAUUAAUUGUGAACUUGUAUGAAUGGUUUGACGAAAUAUUAACUGUUUCUUAUUUAUGAUUAGAAUUUAAAUUUUGAGUUAAAAUGCUUAAUUUUAUUUUAUUAGACGAGAAGACCCUAUAGAUCUUUAUUUUUUUUUAUAUUAAUAAUUGGUAUAUUUAUAAUAUAAUGAUUUUUUUUGUUGGGGUGACAUGGAGAUAUUUGUAUUAAACUCUUUAUUUUUAUAUACAUUUAUUUUUGAUUAUUUGAUUUUAUUAUAAUAAUUUAAGAUUAGAUACCUUAGGGAUAACAGCGUUAUUUUUUUUGAGAGUUCUUAUUGA